This 467-nucleotide ribosomal RNA is filed under the name uncultured bacterium. RNAcentral describes it as "partial 16S ribosomal RNA". It matches the Rfam family "Bacterial small subunit ribosomal RNA", at positions 28 to 507 of the family's 1533-position model. The record is from RNAcentral.
GACGAACGCUGGCGGCGUGCUUAACACAUGCAAGUCGAACGGAAAGGCCCUGCUUUUGUGGGGUGCUCGAGUGGCGAACGGGUGAGUAACACGUGAGUAACCUGCCCUUGACUUUGGGAUAACUUCAGGAAACUGGGGCUAUUACCGGAAGGAGGCUCCUGCUCCAUGUGGGGGGUGGAAAGGUUCGGCGGUUGGGGAUGGACUCGCGGCUUAUCAGCUUGUUGGUGGGGUAGUGGCUUACCAAGGCUUUGACGGGUAGCCGGCCUGAGAGGGUGACCGGCCACAUUGGGACUGAGAUACGGCCCAGACUCCUACGGGAGGCAGCAGUGGGGAAUAUUGCACAAUGGGCGGAAGCCUGAUGCAGCAACGCCGCGUGCGGGAUGACGGCCUUCGGGUUGUAAACCGCUUUCGCCUGUGACGAAGCGUGAGUGACGGUAAUGGGUAAAGAAGCACCGGCUAACUACGUG